GUUCAGUAUCUGAAUUGAGCUUAAAAAUUAAUGAUUUGAAAGUCGAUUUUUCAAAACGUAAGUUAAUUACGUUUGAAAAAUCGAGCGAAUCAGCUCGAUUUAAUAAUCGAGUCAUGAAAUUUGGUGACACGGUUCAGUUUUCGUCCGGGAGAUAUGAGAUGAACAGUUUACCUCUUAUGAUUGUUAAAGGAAGAAAUUGAAUAAAUAAAAAAAAUCGAAUGUUUUUUAUUUUUUGGUUAUAUGUGUAACAAUUUAUUAGAAAAUGUUUUUUUGUAUGUUCCCACAAACAUUUUUGUGUAUAUAAUAUAUGGUAGGUGUAUACCAAUUUGGAAU
RNAcentral lists this unclassified non-coding RNA (333 nucleotides) under Hevea brasiliensis (rubber tree). The record is from RNAcentral. Lineage: Eukaryota; Viridiplantae; Streptophyta; Magnoliopsida; Malpighiales; Euphorbiaceae.